Molecule: ribosomal RNA, 253 nt
Filed under: uncultured bacterium
Lineage: Bacteria
Description: partial 16S ribosomal RNA
Rfam family: Bacterial small subunit ribosomal RNA
Source: RNAcentral
UACGUAGGGUGCAAGCGUUAAUCGGAAUUACUGGGCGUAAAGCGUGCGCAGGCGGUUGUGUAAGACAGAUGUGAAAUCCCCGGGCUCAACCUGGGAACUGCAUUUGUGACUGCACGGCUGGAGUGCGGCAGAGGGGGAUGGAAUUCCGCGUGUAGCAGUGAAAUGCGUAGAUAUGCGGAGGAACACCGAUGGCGAAGGCAGUCCCCUGGGCCUGUACUGACGCUCAUGCACGAAAGCGUGGGGAGCAAACAGG